AUGACAACGGGGUCCGGCCCGGGCGGCCGGUGCCAUGAGGAGGACGGACCGAGGCGAGGUAGUUGGAGAGGUUUCCAUACUUGCAGAACUCAACAAUAACCAUGAGUGGACCUGGUGAGAAGAGACCUAAGGUUAAGGCAAGAGAUGCUUCCACCACCUUCCCAAAGGCACCAUGACCCAGGACUUUACCUAUGGACAAGGAGA
Vidua chalybeata is the source of this 204-nucleotide long non-coding RNA. RefSeq lists it as uncharacterized. The record is from RefSeq and is a predicted model, not a curated record. NCBI's taxonomy places the organism in Eukaryota, Metazoa, Chordata, Aves, Passeriformes, Viduidae. The transcript is spliced from 3 exons.